ACUCGUUAAUUCAUUAAUGGUGUCUCUCUCUCUCUCUCUCACAUACACACACACACACACACACACACACAUAUUCUUUUUCUCUCUCCAUCUUUGUAGAGCUAAAAUAACUUUGGAUUCUAAAACAGAGCUAGAAUAACUCCAGAUUUACAAAUCCAGCUAUUAUUUCAUGUUGCAACAAAUCAGACAUUGAUUUUCAAAAUGUUGGUUAUUACAAGAUCUUGAGUUUUGAUUUGCUUUUCUGAAAAGGAUUUUGACAGUAAUAUGUUGGGUUUAACUUCCUAGAAUUUGAGCUUCUCAAUGUAUAGGCACAGUGAGAGAAUAAAGCAGGACUGGCCCCUACUUGGGGCAGUUUCAGGAGGGAGCUCUGCUGGCCACUGGCCACACAAGCCAGUGGUGCAUCACAGAGUACCAGCACUGCAAGGAUGGGGUGAGGGCAAGGAAGGGGCCACAGAAAACACCUACCAUCUUCCCAGCAGGUGUGGGGCCCAGCUAGCCCAGGACCAGAGGGAUCUUUCACCCCAGGUGAGGAUUUGUCUUGGCAUUGUCAAGGCUAAGCUUGGAAUAUCUCUAGUCAAGAGCAGUCCUGAAAGAUAGAGCCAGGGGAGACCUUAGAAACCAUCCAGCCCAUGGCUUCAUUUUGUAAAUGAAGAAAGAAAAACAAACAAAAACAAAAAUCACCUAAUUGCAUUCUCCAAAAAACAAGAGAAGUUGAAUAGCUUGUUCUGUUUCAAAUAGUAACAAGUAACUUACACUGGAAACAACCUCAGUUCUGCCGAAACAACACUAUCACUAUUUCUUCAUGUAAGAGCUAGUCUCUCUUCCUCAAGUUUUACAGAUCAAAACUCAGGACCAAGUUUUCCCUCAACUACCAGCAACCUGCAUCUUCCAUCCAUUUCUUUGGGAAUCAGGCACAUUAAUCCAAAAACAAAAUAAAAGUAUCUCAUUUAGAACUCCUUUCAAAUCAAGCAGACUUGGGUUUGAACCGCCUUUCCUUCCUGGCUGGAAAGCUCCAGGCAAAUCACCUGACCUCUCUGAACUUCAUCCUUAUAAAGUAGAUGGCACGGACUUCUUCCUACUGUGGCUGGUUGGAGAAGUAAUGUUUGUAAAGCAUUUGGCCCACUGUUGAACACACGGAAAUGCUCAAUCAGGAUGGGCACCGUGGCUCAUACCUGUAAUCCCAGCACUUUGGGAGGCAAAGGCAGGUAGAUCACUUGAGGUCAGGAGUUCAAGACCAGCCUGGCCAAUAUGGUUAAACCCCAUCUCUACUAAAAAUACAAAAAUUAGCUAGGUAUGGUGGCACAUGCCUGUAAUCCCAGCUACUCAGGAGACUGAAGCAGGAGAAUUGCUUGAACCCAGGAGGUGGAGGUUGCAGUGAGCCGAGAUCGCACCACUGCUCCAGCCUGGGCGACAGAAUGAGACUCUGUCUCAAAAAAUAAAAAUUUUUUGUUAAGAAAGAAAUGCUCGGGCCGGGCGUGGUGUCUCACACUGGUAAUCCCAGCACUUUGGGAGGCCAAGGCGGGUGGAUCACAAGGGCAAGAGAUCGAGACCAUCCUGGCCAACAUAGUGAAAUCCUGUCUCUACUAAAAAUACAAAAAUUAGCUGGGUGUGGUGGUGGGCACCUGUAAUCCCAGCUACUUGGGAGGUUGAGGCAGGAGAAUCACUUGAACCCAGGAGGCGGAGGUUGCAGUGAGUGGAAAUUGCACCACUGCACUCCAGCCUGGCAACAGAGCAAGACUCUGUCUCAAAAAAAAAGAAAAAAGAAAAAGAAAAAAAAAAAUGCUCAAUCAAUGACAGAUAUCCUUAUGGUCAUUUACUCUGUGCUGUUCUGCUGUCUGGGGAUGGUUGAUACAGAACUUCAAGCCAUAUUGCAGUUGGUGUGUAUGGUCUCCUGACUGUCCAGCAUGACACAGCUAACACUAGAGAACACUAGAGCAGAGCCCAAUAGACAGGCCCUGCUACCCCCUCCCCUUGCACCUGGUGACAGUGGGUGGUUUGUAGCUGAGAAGAUUUGGUCUAAAGUUUCAUAGUUUAUGUGAGCCACUGCCCAAUUAGCUGUUCUUGCUGUGACUAGGAUGGCAGGCAAGUAAAAACGUGAAACCAGCUCAUAUAAAUGCUGGGUUGACUUGGCCCUCAUCACAUAUGGAAUUUGAGCUUUUGUCUGUGACAGUCAACAAGACCAAAUUUCUAUAUGAAAUUUUAAAUACAAACUCUACAGUUAGGAGAAACAAGCAUAGGCCAUAGUUAGUACUCUGGGAGGUGUUUGGUCUUAUAAAGUAUACAUUUGCUUUCUAUGGGAAAUGAAGAAAUUUUUUUAGCAUGCAUGAGACUCCUCUGACAGAUUGAGAAAAAAAUAAUAAUAAGAUCCCUAAACUAAGGUUCAGUAGUACUAUUUUUUUGUGACAAGAUGCUGAUACAGUGUAUGACCCCAUUUUUUUUUCACAGCAAUUGAAAAACAUCUCCACUAAAAUAUGUUAACAUUCCAUUUUCCACUGACCAGUUUGGCAGAAACCAAUUCAUAAACUGGGUCAACCUAAGAAGUGGGAGGGUUAUAGGAAAGAGGCUGGAUAGAAAGAAAUAUUAUCAUUAAUAAGACAGAAGAAUCAAUGCUGUUUGGGAGCAAAAUGCUGGUUAUAUAAAUCCAAGAACAAUGGAAUGAAAAUAAAUGGAACUUCCUCUAAUGAAUCACACUUAAAUUGAAUCUCUUAUUUACCAAUUCUGAAUGAAAGUUUGUAUUAACAGCUGAAGAUGUUCCAUCUGUUUUUGAGAGACAUAAUACCACCUUGAACUUUUAUUCUCCAGCCAUGCAAAAUAAUAGAUUUGAGAUAUAAGAAGCUUAAGAAUUUGGAUACAUUUGAACACACUCUCAACACUGUUACAAAUUAUGAUUAUCCAGUUUACUUUUAAGUGCCCUUUCUUUAUGGAAGUCUUGCUAAAAUAAGAUACAUGAGAGAAAUCGAUACAGAAAAUUGUGUCCUUGUUGCCGUGGCAACAGCCACACGAUGUACACAUGGAGUUACACAAGAAAGGUCACAGAUGAGGUAAGAACCAGAAUUCAUAGCUGCCUAUGGCUACUCAGGAAAGAAUUCCAGGCGAGGCAGGGGGGGCAAUAUUGUAGCUCUGUCUAUAUGCUUCUUCUGUUUUGUUUUGCAUAACCUUAGGAGACUCACUAGAGAGGCCUGCCUUGCUUGCAUGGUGGUGAGUCUGUAAGAAUUCUUCAGCACUGAUUUAUGGAGCUGACCACAUUUUCCAUAAACUCAAAAUGACUCCAUCCAGGCAUGUGCUCAUGAACAAGAGUCACAGGUUCUGAAUUUUUUCUUUAAAACAAAACAAAAACAAAAAUCACCUAAUUGCAUUCUCGGUUACAUUCUAAGUUGCUUCAGACACAUGUUGACCUCACAGAAACCUGGCAAAUUUUCCUCCUUAGUUCCUGUCUCCUUCAUCCUCCCCCCAGCUACUCCACCCCAGCCCUCCAGAUGCAGACACAAGCCCACCAACAGAGCCUCUGAGGCUGCUGAAAGGCCUCCAGCUCAGCACAGAGCAGGGGCUCAGGGAGCCAGAGCCUAGAGCCACCGCCCUUCCCUGGGAUUGGCACCCACCUCCUCAGAACCAUCCAAGCCCCAGGUCAGGGGUGGCAGCAGGGAACACGAGUGUUUUCCAUCUGCCAUCACCCGUCUCCCUCUUUUUGCCUGCGGUGGGCUCAUGGUCCCAUUGUUCCUUGGAGCCCACCAGGAAAUGCUUGGGCCAACUUAAAAGGGAAAGUGCCAAAGGAAACCACCUAAAUAGCAAACCAGUAGCACAUCUGAUUCUAAGAUUGUUAAAAUUUACUAAGCACAUGGUGUCCCCUGCUCCCAGUAGGUAGCCACCACAGUGCUCCUUGUAAAACCAAACCUCAACACACCAUGCCUCCACUUCAGACUUGCAAAAACUGUGGGAAAACCCAGAAUCCUUAGCUUGAUUUAGAAAGGCAAGCCUUUCCAUUUCAUACGCUACUUACCCCAGAUUCCUUCAUCACCUCCAAAUGGGCUCUGAGCACGUGGAAUUAAUUGCUGGUCAUGCCCUGAACAUGCCAGGACAUUUUGUGUCUCUGUACCUUUGCUAGGUUUCUCUGCUUGGAAUGCCUUUCCCAUCCUCUCUACCGAGUGAACCUAGCUUGGUAAUAUUGUUCAUUGUUCCCACAGUUUCCUGUAAAUACAAAAAGUUGCUGGCCAGACUCAUGCUUGAAAGGGGGCAUUGCCCAAGCAGAACACAUUUGACAGAGCCUAGGUGAGAAGGUUUGGAAGUUAGAACCUCUGUCCCAGGAUGGUCCAGGAUGGUCCCCAAGGCUUCCUGCACAGCUUGGCCACUCUUUGAGUUCAGAAAAUUUGCUCAUCUUUCAAGGGCAAAUGGUUGAAGGAAUUUAGAAUGUUCUGAGAAAGAACGCUUCAAGGGGUCAUGAGAGCUUUUUAACUUACUUGGUCCAUGAUGAUAUGGCGUGUCAUUCCACUUUGCAAGCUGUUUCUUAUCACGUCACCAUUGUCAAGGAAUAAUCUUUCCAUGUCACUACAUAUCCUUGAAUAAUAUCAUUUUAAUGACCAUGUCAUAUUACAUUGCAUAUCUUCCCUUUUUGGAGAUUGAUUUUCAAGUAUCUAUUAUUAUAAAUGAAGCUGCAGUCAGUAUCCUUAUUGCCAAAUCAUUGUGCACAUUCACAAAUGUUUCCUUAGAAUAAAAGGUCCAGCUUUCUACUGGAUCAAAUAGUGUGCAAAUUUUUAAAGCUUUGAUACAAAUGGCCAAAUAAUUGCCCUUCAAAAGAUUAUACAAAUUAACCCUCACAUUAGCCCCCUAUGAAACGCCCAUCUCCCCAGAUGCUCCUCAAUAUUAUUAACGUACCUAUUUGAUUGAUAGGUGCUAAUUUGUAUUUUUUAUUAUUACUGAGGUAGAACGAUUUUUUUAAUGUUUAUUUUCUCGUUUGUCAAUUGGUUUGACUUGGCUCAUUUUUCCACUGGAUAUUUUAGUGUUGGUUUCCUGUGAUCAUUUUCUUAACCCAUCUUCAUUCAUAUAUUAAUCAAAUGUUUUGAAAGCCUACUAUGUAUCAGAUCCUGUGCUUGCAUUAAGUAUGUGGUACUUAAUCCUUAUGACAUUUAAAGUCUAACCAUGUAAUAUAUGUCCAAAGUUUUUUCUAGUUUGCCAUUUACCUUUUAACUUUUUAGAAAUAUAUUCAAGUUUUCUACAAUUUUACAGUCAAAUCUAUAAAUAUUUAUGAUUCCUGCCUUUUGUUUCAAAUUUAGAGAAGCCUCCCCUACUUCAAGAGAACAUACAUUUUCACAAAAAUUUUCUUCCACACUUCCACCCCCUCGGUCUGUUUUUGAUGGUAAUGCGAAUUGUCACCUUUUCUGCAUCUUCCUGAGUAUUUUAGUGUAGAUUUGGGAAAGGCUCCUUUGGAAGCUAUGGGCCAUAUGUUAUAUUAAAUGAGAAGUCCUAGAAAAUUAUCUUGAAUGCCUUGAAGUGGAUGUAUUAAUAGAAAGUGACUUGGAUUUACUCUGGGCCAUCCCAUUGAACAGAGCUAGCCCCAUAGGUAGAAACAAUGGGGAAACAAAUUUCAUCAGAAAGAAUUGAAGGAUGCAAGUUUCAACAACACAACGGGCUGCCCCAGAGACUAAUGCUCCAGGUAACUAAUGUUACCAAACACGGAUAAGACAAAUUAACCACUAGGCCAGGACACAGGGGAUUCCUGUAGCAGAUCAAUGGUUCUCAAACUUGAGCAUCAGAAUCACCUAGAAGGUUUGUUAAAGCACAGCUUGCUGAACCCAUGCUCGGAGUUUCUGAUUCAGAAGUUCUGGGGUGGAGCCUGGGAAUUAGCAUUUCUAACAAACUCCCAUGUGAUGCUGAUGCUGCUGGUCUGGGGAUUACACUUUGAAAACCAGUAAGAUAAGGAACCAAACAAACUUCAGAGUACCUCUCACCCUGAGAGUCUGGGGUCCUAGGCAAUAUUUCUAUACUGCUUUGGCCACCAAGCCGCCCCUUUUCUAUAUUUCUCCAUAGAGCACCUAUUGACACAACUGGAGAAUAACUAGUCUACCUUAAAUCUAAAUAUUAAGCCUCAGUGAGUUGUGAAGAAAUCUCCCAUCUUCACAUAUUCUGUUCCUAGAUUACUAAUUUCAAACACAGAAACAUAAGGGAAUUCAGAGAUCAGAGCGUGGACUCCAGUGGUUUUCAAUGUGUUUGCACAUUGUUAUCACCUAGAGAGCUUUCAAGGUCCCCCCCUAAAGGUUCUGUUUAAUUGUUCUGUGAUGAGGUCUGGGCACUUAUAGGAUCACCUGGGAAUCACAAAGCCUCCCCAGGUGAUUCUAAUGGGCAUCUAAGGUUGAGAAGCAGUGAGGUGGUCCAAUUCCCUCUUUUUCACUCAGGGCAGCAUCUUCUCUUUCCUUUUUGAAACAAUUUAAAGGCAACUCCCCAUGUUCCUUCAGAAACCCCAAGAGUAAGAUAGGCUGAUCACACUCUUCAUGGGCUUUUAACAGUCCCUUUCCUAUCAGGAAGAUGGUUAAUCUAGACUGAGGCUGCCAUGUCAUUGCUACUGCUUGAGUAAAGAAGAUGGAAAAGAGAAAAUAGAACUCAGCCUCAUAUGUCUUUUCUGGAUGGAAUUCAAUCAUCUACCAACCAGCCUGAGCCCUCCCCAGUCACUUUUACUCCAAAUCGAACUCCAUCCCACUUCACGUGCUCCCAGAGAACCCACUGGGUUUGGAUGUCAUCUGUUUUCAGAUCUGGCAUCAGGAGGCCGGUACAUUCCAUUACUAUCUGCAAGAACAAAAUACUAAAGCUCACUCAGGGCUUGUUUUGCAAGCCUGGAUCUCCUUGCAACCAGAAGAGACCCAGGGAAACACACACGUAAAUGUACAUAAACAAUGUUUGAAACUCAUCUGAAGCCUCAGAGGUUGUGAAAUCCUCCCCAGCUGUUUCCAAUAAGGGCGUGAGGCCAGUCACAUGGGCACCAUGUCUCCCUACUGUCGCAGAGGCGAGAAUAGCCUGGGCAGGUUAUCCUCCAGGAGAGAGGUUAUCCUCUGCCCAGUCCUUCUAAAGCAGAUAAGCCUCCUGUAGCAGGCCUCAGAGAAAGUGUCUGCACUCUUGCAUUCUCUCUCCUCUCUUCUCUCUCCUUCACAUUUCCUGCAUUCCCUCUUUCUUCUAACCCCUUUCCUUUUUUUCUUUUCCCUGUUCACUGCCAAUUUCUAAGGCCUGCCAUGGCUGCUUUCCCUCAACAAAAACCAAUUGCACUCCCACUAAGAAUCCAUUUCUGGGCUGAGCACUAGGGAUAUCCAUUAGCAGAGGACUAAACUCUGGCUUCCAGGAGUUCAUGUAUGUAUGUAUGUAUGUAUGGUGUGCAAGAGAAGAGAGUGUCAUGCACUGUAUGAACUGCAAAUGUUUACAGAAGCAUAAACCCAUUCACAGUAACUUGGGGUAAUGAUGAUCUCCAUUUUAAAGAACAGAAAUUGAGGCUCAGGGAAAAUUACUAACUUUUCCAAGGACACACAGCUGGUAAGGAGGUCUGGGGCUUGAAUUUAGGACUUUCAGACUUGAAAGUCAACACUAGGGAUUCCUGAACUCCUUCAUGCAUUCAACCCAUAGUUGUUAGAUGUCUUCUAAGAGCCAAUGAGCACUGUAUUAGUGCUUGAUAUUCAAGAUUAAUGAAUGAGCCCUGUCCCUGCCCUCGAGGAACAGGGACAAACAGGAAGCUCCCAAACACUGCCUGGUGUGAAAGGCUCUGUGAUGGAGCUGAGCACAUGAGGUGUGGGAGCUAUACCCAGGAAAGGCAUCUCACCAGCCUUGGAGUCCAAAUGCCUUCUUGAAUGGACAUUUAAGCUAAGACAAGAAGGGGGAAUGGAGUUGGGGAGGUAGAAUAUUCUAGUGACAGGGAAGCUUGCAUACAGAUCUGCAGGUGAGACUGUGGCUCCUUCAGGGAGACACAAGGAGCAGGGUACAGAGGAGGACAGAGUGGGAGGCACUGAGAGGAGGGACUGUGGUGAAGAGGAACCUGAGUUGCCGGCCGUGGGAGCCUGCUCUGCCAGCCUGACGAGGCUGUACUCCACCCUGAGGACAGUAGAGACUUACUGCAAGAGUUUUAAGCAGAGGCGCAAUCGGAUGUGCAUUUUAGAAAGGUCGCACUGGCUGCAGUGUGGACAUAGCGGCAGUGAGAGAGGCUGGCACCCUGAAGUGCAGAGUGGUGGGCAAGGAAGACAGCUUGGAUUCACAAGAUAUUGAGCAAAUAAUCACAGAUUUGGUAACUGCCUGGGUGUAGAGGAUGAGAGGGUAGAAAGUGUGAAGGAGGACCUCCAGGAUUUGGCCCAAGCGACAUUGCUGACUGUGCUGCCUGCCAUUCACCAGGAUGAGGACAGCUUUGCGAGGGAAGAUGAGGACGUCACUUUUUAACUUGUGGAGUUCACAGUGCCUGUGGGACAUCCAAACAAAAAGGACCUGCAGCAGGUCAGGACCAGGGGGAAGCAUGAAGGCAUCUAGGGCAGGAACUCUCUGGGUUGCUCACUGUCAGGGUUGUGUGAAAGUAGGGACCUGCGAGUACAUGCCUCCUUAAAUUUUGUGCCCUAGACACCUCGCAUGCCUCACCCUAGUCAGGGGGCAGUUUUGCUCCAGUGAGAGUUUUGGGCUGCAGGCAAAGAUCUGAGAGUCAUUGGCCAUGGCAGUUGAGACCAAUGUGACUAGAGGGGAAACCAGGGAGAGGGGUAGAGAGAAGAAGUUAAGCACUGAACCCUGAGGGUCACAUCCUUUAAGUCAGGGUGGAGAAAAGAAAUAGAGCAAGAAGACGACUAAGAAGGACCAGCCAAGAGAAAGAGAAGUUGUAAGAGGAAAGUCUGGGGUCAUGGAAGCCAAGGGAAAAUAAUACAUUAUGGAGGAGGGUGGAGUGUCAAGUGAUGGGAAAUUAAGAUGCAAACUGAGAGCAAUCAUCUAAUAAGAUUAGCAGUAAGGAGGUUAUGGUGCCCUUAGUGACCCGAGCUCUGUGGGAUGAUGGGGUUGGGAGCAAAGCUUAACAAACAAUGGGAGGGAGAGCCAAGGCAGUAGCUGGAGGAGAUCUAGAAUUGGAAAGAGUUCUUUGUCUUAGUAAGACUUGAGCGUGAUUAAGUGCGUGUGGCAGAGAUCCAGUAGAGGAAGGGGUUGAAGACAAGAACUCACUGUUAGACUGCAGGAACUCUUAGGAGAAGGGGUUGGAGGGCUUAGGAGGAAGUGCCAGUCCUCCUUAGUGACAUGGGUUGUAGAUCCCAGGUAUGAGUGAGAGGGCAGGAAGUGAGGACAUCCCUGUGGGAAGUGAUGGGCUCUGUUCUCCCUGUGAUGUGGCUGGAGGAGUGGAGGAGCUGGAACUGGAGCUCCUGGAAACAGCCACACCUUGGGAACCCCAUUGCUCCUAUGCUGGCAGCACUUCUCCACAUUCCAGAGUGAAUGUCUCAGGAUUAAAUAAAAUGGUAGGUAUAAAUAAUUUGAAAAGAUGGGAGCUUAUUUUCUUCCCUUCCUUCUCCCUGAAAACUGCCAUUGAUUUCAGAGAAUUUUAAUUACCUCUUAACCUGUAGGAAAAACUUUUUCUCAGAAUUAUUUUAUGUUCAAACCAGCAAUGACCAAAAGAACCAAGUUAUCUACAUAUUGAAGUCUUACAUGAAAGUCGUUUUUCUUGCACAAUAAACAAUUAAGUUUACAUUAGCUCUUUAUGUUGUGUAAAUGGACAUCUUCAGAAUUCCUAUCUGACACCAGGUAUAAGGUCCCAACAGAUCUGGAGGGAAAGUCUCCUGACCUUUUAUAAAUUUUUGUAAGAAACGGAUCAUUUUAAGAAAAAGGAAGAAAAAAGAGCAAAUUAUAGGAAAUGUUCCUAGAGGGUGUGAUUUAUUCUGGCACAGCCAUCUUCCCUGGAUGUUUGAAUUCUCUGUAGUAUUCAUUCAGUUCUCACCCUUGGAAGCCUCUCCUUUGCUGUCUCAUUGGAGGGGGACAUGAGUACUUAGAAUUUUUGGCUGAGUUAGCUGAAUUUAAGGAAUAAAAAGUUCAAAACACUCUCUGUCCACAGCAAAAACCAACUGUACCCAAAACCUGCAAAGUUAACUUUUUUCAGAGAUGUUAAACCCAAAGUUGAUGCUGCAAAAUAUACCAUCUUGGGAUUUUUUUUGCACCAACUUCUUUCUCCCAUGGUAGGAACUGUCUCUGAGUAAAUACGUAUGAAAGCAAUUGCUAUGGUUGAGCAAUCUUCCUCUCCCUCUCUCUUUCCCCCUCCCUCUCCCUCUCUUCCAAUCCUCACAAUCUGAUCCCCCUUUUUCCACAAGCAUUACACACUCACAUUCACACACAUUCCUCCUCCUCCUUAUUAUCACCAUCAUCAUCAUCAUCAUCAUCAUUUUGUAGCUUCUUUCAAUUUCAACUUGUAGGACUUUCAACUUCAGAUUGUCUCAUCUCCCAAACAGCUGCAACAACAGAAGGUCGAGUCCUGGAAUCAGGUUGCAAAUAGCAAACAGAGAAGUAAAUGCUAAGGCUGAACCAGACAGGGAUGGGAAUAAAGCAACCCUGUUCAAAUUCUCCGACCUCAUUUUUUCCCUUCCAAACAAAAUCAGGAUUGAGGGAGGUAGGGAUUAGCUCUAGGGUCAGAAUUUUACCCAAGUGUGUAAUAUUUUAGGAGGUUUGCUACUUUGUCUAAGCAUGAUGAUCAUGUCUAGCCACUUGGCUUCUGCGGGCCUGCUCCUCCAGCUGAUGGCACCAAAAAAGAUCAUCUCGAGGGACAUUCAGCAUCUCCGUGAUGGGCCUCAAUUAAGAAUCAUCAGAAUCCAUGCUGGUGGGAAGUUCUGUUCUGGCCAGAAAGUAUUGGGUUAGAUUAUAGAUGGCAAAAUCUGACCUAGGAAAUAGGCUUUUGAACAGUGUGGGGAAGAGCCAGCCUGCUAUAAAACAUCCACACACACCCAUCUUCGUUCAGCAUCUCCAUGACCACCCCAACUCAACCUGACCCUCAGUCUCGGAGUUGGACUGGCAGUUCCUCAUAAUCCCAGACCCUUCAUUUUAGAGGCACCAAAGCUGAGGUCUGGAAAGGUGGUCUGGAGAGAUUCCCGAGCCCUCCCAGGUCCAUUAUCUUAUCUGUUCCCCAUCACCUUCUUACUUUAUCCUCUUUUUAAUAUAGGAAAGAUGAGGCUCAGAUAAGAUCUCUGCUCUUUUCAAGGUCACAAAGAGUGUUGGUGGAAAUGGCAAGACUGGAAACCCACCAGCUCGACACUGCCUGGCUCUCCUUGAGUCCUCACCCCAGGCCAUGAGAGGAGGAUAAGCAUCCAGACUCAGCCUUAUCUCUUGAGGAGAAGGCAGAGUUAGUCCUUGCCGCCCAAUCCCUUCCCUUCCUGUCCUCCUACCUCUUCCCACCUCCCAGUACCUUUCCAUUUUUAUAUCCUGCCCAAGAUGACAUACCCAUUGAUAUCCUCCCACAUGGGGCUGCUCUCCUGCACAGGAUGCUGUGCUCCCAGAUCACCUCAUGCUCUCCCUGAUUCCACCUCUCGCUGCCUCCCACUUUACCACCAACACUGUGUCUAGGACAGAAAUUCCAUUCAUCCAGUUAAUACAUCCUGAGCUCCCACUCUCCAGCAGGCACCAAGCUAGGCAGUGGGGAUUUAGCAUGAACAAGGCGAGAUCCCUGCCCUUGUGGAGUGUACACUGGAGUGGUCAGAAAAGAUCACUAAAUUACAGCUCCACAUGGUAGAUAGUAUGAGGGGGAGUUUGGAGUUCUCUGGGAGCAUAGAGCCAGAAGAUUUAACCCAGGCUAGGGCAUCAGGGCAUACUUCCAAAGAGAAGAGACCAUUUGGCUGAGAUCCGAAGGACAAACUCUCCCAGUGCAGGGAGAGAAGGGCCGCCUUCUAGUUGGAGGAACAGCAUGUGUAAAAGGCCAGAAGGGAGAAGAACUGAGAGAGGACACACAGGCCUGCAACCAGGGAGGGUAGGGAGUGCAGCAGCCCCCACCUGCAAGCUCCACCUUCUCCAGUCUUUGUCCACCCAAAUCCUUCAGGCACUCAGUACUCAGCCAAAGCCCAAGACCUUCUCCCAGUCAAGGCUCAUUGUCUGGCCCUUCCUUCCUCCUCCGCUUACAGCCACAAAGUUUAGCACCAAGUUAAUUUUAACCAAUACUGACUUUUCACUCCCUGAAUAAGUUGUAAGCAAUUUGAGGGAAUGAACCAUGGCUUUUUUUUUUUUUUUUAACUUUCCCUCACAGCACUGAGGACCUAGCUCAAUUUGUUUCCUUGUCCCAGGGAGUAUGGUUUUUUUCUGCAACCUCCAGGCCACAGCUGUUUGCAAACUUCAUAGGAAACUGCAUUUGAGUCACAGGCAAGGGGACAUCUGAAUGAAUCCUCCGUCUCUUAAUAAGGAGAGAGAAUUCACAAGGUCUUCUAGGGACAUGUCCAGAUAAAAUGAGGCUGAUUAAAACUUUAAAACACUAAACUUUUAUUAUAAUUGCUAUUCAUACUUUGUCAUUGCCAUUUAUUAAUAACUUUUCUUUAAGUUUGUUUGAAAAUAGAAAAUUCAUUUUUAAAAAACUCUCCAAGGCUUUACCAGUCUCACUUUACAAAUUCGUUCCUAUAACAUUUGUUUAAUAUUAGUGUUUUUCCAUUUUUUUUCUUUUUGGCUGAUACCAUUGAGAGCAGUGUCACGUUGAGAAUCCACAGUGAUGACAGAGCUAGUUGUGAGGGUGCUCAUUCCAUUCCUCUAGCAUUCAGCACCUCUGUCCAUUUCUGUGUUUGCCCCCAGCGUCUGAAUUUGGUUGCUUCACUGAAUGGUGUGGCCCCACCAGCUGACACCCAGGCAUUGACUGGCCUCAAUUACUGCAACACCUAUGUUUCAAGGACUCUGUGGCCCUGACUUAAGUACAAGCUUUAAAUGGGAAUAAAUCUUUUAUAAGCCUUUCCAUUUACUUUCCUGCUUAUUAAAGGUGAAUUGUAAUGGAAAACCCUAAAUGUCACAGAGUCUGGAAAAUUGAAAUAAUAAGGGGCAGCAUUCUCCUUAGUGGUAUAACUAGUAAAAGUGGGCCUAAUGGAAAGUCCACCGUGGAAUCAUCUGUGUUUCUAUGCAACAAAAUUAUUUUCCUUCUUUCUCUAACAAGGGAAGUAGUUCUGACCAACAAGGUUGGCUGUCUUAGGCAUGGUGGUGGAGAGCAAUGGAAAGAUGAGUGUGUAGUGGGAGCAAGCUUAGCAGAGUUCCUGAAGCCAUUGCUUUAGUGUCCCACCACAUCUGUAGGCCUAGGGGAUGCCAUGCAGUCCUCCAGAGAUAGCCAAGGAAGCUGCAGAGCUGAGGCCACCCUCUGUGCUUGUAAACAAUAAGCACACCCCCCAAAAUCAGGAAUAAGCCCAUGAGAACUGCCCAUAUCCCAUGGUCCCACAGCACCUCAUCAGCUGCACUAGUGUGUUCUGCAGUAGAUCCACUGCUGGUGGGCCUCAAGUUGCAAAUAUAUUUAGUAAUGGAUCAAAAUAGAAUCUCUUAGCAAAAACUGGACCUUACAAGCAAUUUGCAUCAAGUCAGAAACCCAUACAUCUGUGUCCCACAGCAGGCCACCCUUAAGCAACAUGAAGGCUUCCAAAAAGGUUACCCUGCCCAUAUGAAAAUGCCAAUUUUAUCCAGCAACAUUGCUGUGUUUUCAAAUUUCUGUAGACGCCAAUGCUGUAAUGAAUGUUCUGACCCUCAGGGUGUCAUCCACAGCCAGGCUUUGUGCCUGUCUUUUGCAAAACUUACCCAAUUUCUGUCCAAAAAAAAAGUCCAAGACUAGGUCGAUAGUAGAUUUAUGUGUCAAAGGAGAACACAUAGACUUUGGAUAACUUUACUCCAAAAGAAUUCUCUUGCUCUCUCAAGCCUAUUCUGUUAAUAACAUGUUUAGUUCUAUUCCUAAGUUUGAUUUUUUUAUGGCAACAGUUUGACUAUUGAAAUUCUUUAGCUUUGUAAAACCAUGGCACAAACUGUUCCCCCAUGAAAAAACGCAGCUUUCCAUAAGGCUUCCCCAGAAAUACCAACAUUAGAAUGGGGGAUGUGAUUUGACUUUUUGUGAGUAAUCUUCCUAGCACUGCCCGAAGAGAGAGAAAAAGAGAGAGAUGCAGUUUCACGUACAGUUUUACAUGUAGUAAAGCAUCUGUGGAGAUCAGAGGAUAAAAAUAUUUCCAUGACAGGAACUUAAAAUUUUAAGAGAAUUUUCUUUUAAGCUCUUCACUGGCCAGUGGAAGAGUUGACCAUGGCUUUUUCCUUCAUGUGUAGAAAAACACUAGGCAACUUGGUAGUGAAGCAGGAUUUUUCUCGGCCAAUUUGCCAACUGGGACCUCCGCUGGCAACACCCCCCACACCCCACCCUGUGUUAUAGCUUGUACCCACAUUCAGCGGUUCCCAAGCUCUUGUCCCACAUCCAAGAAGAAUAAAGAUAUGCUGACAAUUUGAAGGUGGAGAAGAAUUUUAUUGAGCGACGGAACAGAUCUUAGUGGAGACAUAGUCAGGUGGUUUCUCUCUCCCCCAGUGUGGCUGAGUCUGGGGCUUUUUAUGAACUCAGAAUGGGAAGUGCAUGCUGAUUGGUUUGUGAGUAUGCAAAAAUGGUUAAAGCAAAGACAUUCAAAGGUAGGCACAACAGUGUAGAAAACCAAUUAGGAAAGGGUAGGUAUAUGUAAAAUAGAUAAAGGGUGGGAUCCAUCAGAGGAAAUUGUGUCAAAAAGGAAGAGGGGUUCUCAAUCCGGUCUGUGGAUUUGACUUGUAGCUUGGCUUUCAGGCUUUAAAUUCUUUUCAACUUGGAGGUGGGGUUUUGCUGGGGACCCACCCCUGUUUGCCUAGGCAUUUGUCUGCCCCCUGCUGCUGUCAGUGGGAUUACAAACUGACUCACAUUUUUAAAAAUUGUGGCCUCCCUUCUUACCCCCACAAGUAGCAAAAGAUGUUUUUAGAUCCUGAACAUCUCAAAAGUAAAAUCUAGAGCUGACUAUCCAAAAAGGCAGCCACUAGUCACAUGUGGCUAUUGAGCACCUGAAUGUGGCUAGUGAGAAAUGACAUGUGCUAUAAAUGCAAAAUAUACUCUGGAUUUUCAGGGAAGUAAUAUGAAAAAAAGAAUAGGAAAUAUUUCUUUAGUGAUUUUUAUAUUAAGCUGAAAUAACAUUCUACAUAUAUUGGGUUAAAUAAGAUAUAUUAGUAAAGUUAAUUUCACCUGUCUCUUUUUAUGUUUUAUAAAUGUGGUUACUAGAAAACUUAAAAGGCCCAUGUGGUUUAUGUUAUGUGUCUGUUGGACACGCUGGUCCAGAGGACUGGUCUGGAAGACACUUGUGAGAAGGGGGAAUGACAUGAUUUCCAUACAGGCCCUGAGUUCUUCAACUAUUUUGGUUUUUAUUCACAGUAAGAAUUUCAGAAAUUAUGGAUCUCUGCCCUUUCUGGUUUUCUAUUAGGUCAGCUGUGACUUUGCCUUUCUGGGCCAAUUCCUAUCCCAAACUUCUUAUUUUUAGGCAGAAGUCCUGCAUGCUCUAAGCCAGCAUGUUAGGUGUUUGGGGUGUUUUCUUUUGAGAUGGCAUCCCAUUCUCUUAACCCAGGCUGGAGUGCAGUGUCACUAUCACAGCUCACUGCAGCCCCGACCUCUCAGGCUCCAGUGAUCCUCCUGCCUCAGCCUCCCAAGUAGCUGAGAUUACAGGUGCCUGCUACCACGUUGUUUUAUUAAAGCAAACAAGCAUUCAAGGUCUCUCUACUGCUUCUUCCCUGCAACAUCAUCACAGAGAAGAACUUGCAUCCUUUAAAACCUUGUUCUAAGUAUCUGUACAUUUAUUGGAUUAUCUGAUCUACUUUAUCUUUGAAAAAUUCCUGAGAAGCAAAUAUUAUCCUCACUUUACAAAAAGGAACCUGAGUUGACUAGAGCAAUAAUGAUGGUUCAUGUUUGACGAGAGCCAUAUAAUUUACAAUUAUUUUCUAAUAUAUUUAUUCUGACCCUGUGACACAGUUGUUCCCAUUCCUGUUUUACAUACUGGGAAAUUAUCUUUACAGAGGGCUCGAGUGCCUGUGCCCCACAGCUGAUAAACAGAGGAACUAGCAUUUAUUCUUUCAACACAUGUUUAUUUGUUGUGCUAAACACUAGUAAACAAGGAUAUGGUCCUUUCAUGGAGUUUGUAUCCUAGGAUUCACAGCACCCAAGUGUUAAGUGCUCUACUAAGAAUCAAAACAGUGUGAUGAGUGGAAAGACAAUAGAUAUCUAGGCUGCAUGGUGGGAAAAGCCCUCUCUAAAGAGGCGACAUUGAAGAUGAGAUCUGAAUAACAAGAGGGAGCUGCUACGUUAAGAUCAGGGGACAGCAGCAGGCACAAGGCCUGCAAGGCUGGAAAGAGCUUGGCAUGUUGGAGGAACUCAGAGGCCAGCGGUGAUGGGUGGGCAGUAAGGUCAGAGACAGCAGGGGAGAUGGCCAUGCAGGCAGGCUUGUAACCUGAGGAAAGACAUUUGGAUUUUACUCUGGAUGUAACAUGGAGGGGAGGGCUUAGCAGGGGGGAGACAAGUGCCCUAGCAUCCUCCACACUUGAAUACUGCCUGCCUCUAAUUAACAUUCUACAAAGAUGACCAGGGAUGAAGUGGGAAGAAUCAGUUAUACAGAGACCAGAGUGAAGCCGGGAGAUCAGUGACAAGGUUGGAGUCCCGGAUGAGAGGCGAUGGUGGUAGAUGAGUGUGGACCCAGUAGAAAUGGUGAGAAGUGGAUGGAGUCUGAAGUUUUUUGGAGAUAAAGCCAAUGAGACUGGCUGAUGGAUGGCUUAUCCCUCUUUACACCUGACUGUCCCUCCAGCUCUCUUCACUCCUGCAGUGUCCAUCCAAAAACACUCUGCCCAGGGAAAUCUAAUUUCUGUUCACCCCGUAAUAAUGCCCAGAAGACAAAAUGAAACACUGACAGAUUGUCAUUAUUUAUCACCCCUUUGUUUUGCUUUGUUAAUUCAUUGUCCUGCCUAGCUGUUAGCGUCUUAAUUGUUCAUGUUGACCUUUAGAAACACAUUCAAGGUGAAUAAGGAGGCCUUGCUAUAUUCCAAAAUCGUGUCAGUGGGAAUAACCAAAAUGAUUUUAUUCUUUCACUCUCCUUUUGGCUGGCAGGAAGAUGAGCUGUUCACAUAUUCAUAUGACACACUACCAUUUGAAAACCAAAAAACCAGAAGCAUGCAAUGUCAUAUAUGCAGUCAUCGGCAAAUGUACAAAGCACCCUGCAGCACAGCAUAGUUACACACUCCUUAGUAGGGAAUGGGGGAGGAAAAUUGUACGUAAGAACCAGAUGUUGGCUGGGUAUGCUGGCUCAGGCCUGUAAUCCCAGCACUUUCAGAGGCCGACAGGGGUGGAUCACUUGAGGUCAGGAGUUUGAGACCAGCCUGGCCAACAUGGCGAAACCCCGUCUCUAACAAAAAUACAAAAAUUAGCCAGGUAUGGUGGCACAGGCCUAUAGUCCCAGCUACUUGGCAGGCUGUGGCACAAGAAUCACUUGAACAUGGGAGGUGGAGGUUGCAGUGAGCUGAGAUCGUGCCACUGCACUCCAGCCUGGGCGACAGAGUGAGACUCCAUCACAAAAAAAAAAAAAAAAAAAAAGAACCAGAUGGUUGUCACAAAGUGAUAAUUUGUUUGCCACUGGCAGUAAGAUAAAGAAGAGAGAGAUCUUGGGUGGAAGUGACAAGCCAGAGGCAAGGGCUGGUCCGAAAAGGCUACAGAGAGGAGGUGUUACCUAAGAUUUUCCUUAGAGGAUACCCUCGGGCUCUGGUUAAACAAGGAGAAACAGGGAGGGUAUGAGAUCAAAACAGGUUGCCAGUCAGCAAAAGUUUACACAUGCAUGCAUAUGUAUAUGCAACUUCUUCUCCAGCCAGUGAAAACAUUUUCUUGGCAUAUAGGCUGAACUUCAUUAAUUCCCAAGGGCAAUACAUGCUGUCAGUGCUAAGGAAUGCAAACCCACCCUUCUUCACUUACCAGCACAACUACUCUCUUCCCCAGAACACAGAGCGGGAUCAACUGUGCCAGCAGGUGUUGGGCACAUCUGUGUAGACUCCACAUGCAUCUCUCUCUGACAUAAGGGAAUUUUUACUCCUACACACCAAAGAACUACACUCCCUUAAACACCUUCACUGGUUCCCACUGCCUGCCCACACAAGGUGUGUUUUGUGGAAUAAUUAUUCUGCAGCUGUUCAUAGGUGUCAAAUACAUUUGGAAAUUGUUGCACUUAGUGUUAAAGAGGGCUUUUUCUCUGCAGGACUUCAAAGAUGCUUUAAUAAGCCAACAUGCAUUGGGAAUCUCCAAAGGGGGAACAUACGCAGCAUUUCCCAAACUUGUAAAUUACUGAUCUGUUUUCAUAGAGCAUCACUUGGGACUAACAGUCUGUGAAAGGCACUUUGGGAAAUGCGGGACUGACUAAGAAGGGCUUCCCCUAGUGCCCUCCACAGUCAGACGCUGCCUGCUUCUCAGGAGUCCUGCACAAGGCAGACUGCCCCCAAGACGCUAUUUCAGCCUACUCACCAUAUGUAUUCCCACCUGUGGACCUCUGCUCACACCACCCCCGGCCCAAAUUAUGCUGUUCCUUCUCUUCUCAUUGUAAGUCAACCCACUCCUCUCGUUGUAAGUCAACCCAAGUCCUUUCUUCUCUGGAAAGCUUUGCUCAUCCCUACCAGGACUGGAGAUGCCUUGUGCCUCAGACCAUCUUAAUAUUGCUUUAUGUCACACUCAUUUAGCUUUUGAUAGCUGGCUUCUACCUCUAUCUCUAAUACCUUGCAUAUGGUAGAAUUAGUAAAUUCUUUAUUAAAGAAGAAGAAAAACAGGAAGGAGAUAAAAGAGGAGAAUCACAAAGAAAGAAGUAGGGGAGGGGAGGAGGAGGAUGGGAGGAGUAGAGAAAGAGAGGAGAAAACCAGGGAGGUGACAGUGGGAAAGAGAAUUUCACAGGACCUUGGACGUGGUACUUUGAUUGAGUGUAGGUAAGAGGCAAAGCCCAGGGAGCGCAGCCUUGAGUACUUAGUGGAAAAGAAGAUCCAUGAGGUUCUGCGUAUAUGACCAUCCAAGGCAGCUCCCAGGAGGUGUUCCUGGCACCAUGCCACACUUAGCUGCAGGGCAGUGCCCAUUCAUAAGGUGUCAGCUCUAACCAGUGAGUGCAAUACCUAAGAGCAGGCGCAGACUGUGACCCCUUAACCUAACCUAUGCUUUAUGAUAAAAUAGAUACAUAUUUAUAUUUGUACUAUUCAGAAAACAGCAUAUGUAUCCAUUUCUUGGGGGUUUUCUUGUAAACAACAUAAUACAAUAUCCAGUUAGUACUGAGGUGUUUUUGAGACAAGGUCUUGCUCCAUCACUCAGGCUGGAGUGCAGUAGAGUGAUCACAGCUCACUCUAGCCUUGACCUCUGGGACUCAAGUGAUCCUCCUACCUCUGCCUCCCAAGUAGCUGGGAUCACAGGUGCAUGCCACCAAGCCUAGCUAACUUUUUUUAACAUGGGGUCUCACUAUAUUGCCCAGGCCAGAGUGCAGUGGUGAACAUAGCUCACUGCAGCCUCAAAUUCCUGAGCUCAAGUGACCCUCUCACCUCAGCCUCCUAAGUAGCUAAGACUACAUGUGCACAUCACCUUUUUUUUUUUUUUUUUUUUUUUUUGGUAGAGAGAGGGUCUCACUAUGGUGUCCAGUCUGGUCUCAAACUCCUGGCCUCAAGCAACCCUCCUGCCUCAGCUUCUCAGAAUGCUGGUAUGACAGACAUGAGCCACCACCACACCUGGCUAUUACUGUUAAACAAAAUUAAUAACAUACAAAGUGCAAAUUAUAUAACCCUAAAGCAAUCACUGUCAAGAGACCUACCACUAAAGCCAGUGCCUUCGUUUCACAGAGGAGGGGCCUAAAAGCCACAGAGCAGAUUGAGCUGUGACUAGAACCUCAAAUCUAUGGCCUAGUGCACUCACUACAUGGACCAUCUGAAGCGCUGCUUCUCAUGGCUGGGCAGCCUAUAAUCUCUUUGUCAGCCAGAUGGCCAGUUGCCUGAGAUGGGAGACACAAGAAACAUUCCCACAUCUGCUUCCUGCUUUUAACUCACAUAAAAAUGGCCAGUCGGUUUAACAAAGCUAUUUUCCUAAAGGGACCAGAGCUUCUAUUUUUUCUGUACAUUUAAAACGUGCCAAACAAAAUGACACAUGUUGUCAACAAGAUGCAACAGAUAUCUUCCCACAAAGCCUCUUCUUUGUAAGCUGUCAUGCCAGUUCUGUUGAUGUAGUUACCUUCCGCAAAGACCAGCGGUCUUGCCAGAGCUCCACCCUGGAAAAGCUCAUCCUGUGGAAGCACAGCUUGGUGGGGUCGCCAGACUCCUGUCUCUAACACACUGUUAAAUGCCUAGAUGUAUUUCUUUCAUGCUUGUGCAGAAAUUCCAUUUCAGAGUGUCGGGGCAACACCUAAGUCAGUCUCCCACAUGUGGGUCAUGGAAAGAGCCAGGGCCUGGACGCCAGGAGGCCUGGGUUCCAGUCAACAUUCCCUGUGACUUUUACAAGUCGCAAGUGGAUGACCAUGCCCCCAUUGCCAGCAGCCUUGGGACGUAUGUGGGGGCACUAAGCAUAAUGGGCCAGUGUGGGGCAUGGGAGGGGGUCAGCCCAGCUGCUGUGGUCCCUCUGCCAGCCCCCAGGGCAACCCACAGCCAGGCAGUCUCAGCCAGGGCAGGACAGGGGCCAGGGCCAGAGCAGCGCCUCCACACUGAGUCACAGCCAGCCCUGUAGGAGAAAAACAGCUGAAUGUGGGUGAGAACCUGAACAUCCAUAACAGCCUGGUCCAGGAGAGCAUUUCUGGGUCCUGUGAAGAGGAAGAAGAGAAAAUGAUGUUGGAAUCCCCAGGUUAAGGAAAACCAAGCCAUUCCCUGGCCUGCAAGCUGUAUCACUUCCUCUGUAACUGUUUCUCUCCUUCUGAGCACUGGUACCUGGUUUGUGGGACAAGAAGACAAGUGACAUGAUCAAAACAAAGCUUUGGUUUGUAUUUCCUUCUACUCCUUGUAAAUUUUAUUCAUUGAGAGAGAUUUUUCUCCUGCCACCACAUACAGCCAUGGCAGGCCCUGUAACUGUUCAGUGUAUUCUUAGGCUAUAAGCAGGUCCACCCUCAAAAACAAACUCCAAAUUCAGUCAUAGAAAGUACAAUCCGAGAGAUUAAUCAAAACCUCCAACUUGAGCCAGGGUAAACCUUCCUUCCUCCCCCAGCUAGGCUAAACUCCAACCCCACCCUGUGAAAAGGCAGGAUGAGGUUGUCUCUCCCCUGUUUCUCCAUUUUGCUCUUCUCCUCCUAGUCCCCACCCAAGUCUGUUAGCCAAUUUCUUACCCCUCCUUGGUAGGGGCAGGUGAGCAGAGGUAGGAGAAAAAGUAGACCUUCCUUGAACUAGUCCCAUUAUAAGCUGGUCUGUGCUCUGUGGGCCCAGCCUGUGUUUAACACUGACUCUCUUUUUUCCCCUGGGGUGCUCCUUGGAGCUCUUUUGGGAUCUUCCUUCCAGUAGUUUCCUUGACACAGGCAGAUGUUUCUUUAUUCCCAGUGUUUGCUUGUGGUGCUUUCAUAGCCUCUGGGUCUAGCAGUCACCUCCAGCUUGUUACUGCCGAAGUCCCUCUGUCCUAUUACAUAGCCUCUUGGACAGCAUCCAAGAUGACUCUGCUCUGCACUUCCUCUGCACGACCCACAUCUGGUCCACAAGAAAGACUUACAGGACGCAUGGAUGGGCGAACCCAAUUGCAGCCCCUCCAUCCUGCUGCACAGGCUGCCUCCACUUUCUCAGACAUGAGAACUCUGUAUUCGCCAUCUUCAGGGAACCCAUUCCAAGCUCUCCAAGUAGCCCCAUGGGGACAGCCUCACUGCACUGGAGGGGAAGCCCAGGGAAGCCCUGAUGAAAUCUCUACUGGAAGGGUCUCUGGAGACUCACAGCACAGCAACUUUUCUCUCCAAGAAAUCCCUUCAUACAUCCUUCGCCCUACCCAGGCCCCUUUUAUAGCCUUCAUCUGGCUGAAGAGUCCAAGCAUCAUGAAGCCAGUUUACAGAUGUUUCCCUAUUAGGCAACUUAUUAGAAUAUCUUACAGCUCAGAGCAUAGUCAAAACUUCCAUUUUAACAUUCAUUACAUGCUUAUCUCAGAUUUUAAUUAUCCACCCAUUUAAAGAUAUGCCCCAUGGGGCAUAGACAUCAUCUGGUUUAUUCACUACUACAUCCCAGCUAUGAUAGGCACUCAGUGAAUAAUUAUUGAAUUAACAAAUUAAUGUUUAAGUAAAGUAGCGUCCCCUCCUCAGCCUGCAAGCCAUAUGGGAGUGGGAACUGAGAUUAUUUGUACUCAAUAUUUGCCCCCAGUAGAGUCUAGUAGAAUGCUGGCCCAUAGUAGGUACUUUAAAAGUGGCUUUGAAAAAAAUUAAUGAACCUGGGCAAAAGGCCACAUUUCUCUAGGUAAGAUUAAUGGAGGCUCUACUGACCCAGAGCCUCUCUCCCAUUCUUCUUCAAAUUCUUCACUUGGCUACAUUGCUUAAAACUCUGCUAAUCAGAUAUUCUAUCAGUUCAAAGCUUUUUUAACAACAAAGAUAUCACCACUGAGAAAAUGGAAGCCAGUCAUUUACACUUAAGAAGACAAUUUGAUACAAGGAAUGUACAGGAACACUGUCAGGGGCCUGAAGAGUGCUAGGAGGCACUUAAGAGAAAGGAGAUGGCAGGCCCAGAGGUGGGAGCUCUUUUAGAGGCUUGCCAGGGAGACCGUGUGUGCCAGGAGGUGAAAAGGAAGUGGCAGACAAAACCAGUAUUUUUUAGAGUUUGCCUUUAGCAAGCUUCCUUCUACACAAUUUUUAAGAACCAAUUAAUUUUUAGAGCUAGAAGGAACCUUUUAUAUCAUCAGAUUCCAUGGCUUCCAAACAUUUUUGAGCCAAAAAACUUCUUCUUUCAAUGAAAUCUUACCAGAAAGCCAAUAUGAAAAACAGGUAAGCGGAGAUAAUCUGGUUCUAGAUAGGUGGUUUUAGGUGGGUUCUAGAUGUUUGGGCUGGGAAACCAAACAUGCACAUACACAUACAUAUCUAUUAAUACAUACAUACACACAUGCAUAUACAUACAUAUACACACAUACAUAUAUGUAUAUACACACAUAUAUACAUGCAUGCACAUAUAUACACACAUGUACACGCACACACACGAUUUUCUCAGAGUAGUCUUCAAACCUCCCCCUCAGAAUCACUAAGUGCUCCUGAAACACAGUGUGUCCAGAUACAAUGAAAGACCCACAGUCAUCCUCACCCAUCACCAUGUCCCAGAGACUGGGCUCCAGAGGUCAAAAGAAAAUGAAAGACACUAGACCCUACUGCUCCCUCCCCUUGAUCAAGGAGCAAGACCUUGUCCCCUCCACUUCCCAAACUCUUUGUCUAUUCUGUAAAUGUUUGCAAAUCAAAGAAAGAGCCCUUUCACGGGACCACUGAAGACUUCCCCCAUGAGUUUAAUACUACCAACAAAUAUUUACUCAGUUCUUCCUACAUUCUUGACCCGUGUUUGGCACUCAGAACAAGUGACCAUUGUCAUUGCUAAGUUAACCAGCACUCUCUGGGUGCUGCCUGUUCAACCUUCUCUGAGCCAUCUCAAUUGCAGUUAAAUAUCCCACAUCUUUCCAUCUUUCCCCUAAAUGUGCUUUGAGACACUGUGUGAACUGAUCUGCUGAAAUGCAGAUAAACUACAUCUGUCAGCCCCCAUCUAUGAAUCUAGUGAGACUUGCAAAAAAAAUGAGGUUUGGCACAAUUCGCUUUCGGCAAACCUUUGCUCCCAGGGAUGACCACUGUUUCCUGUCUUUGGAACUUAUAAGCCAUCUGUUUAAUAAUCUGUCCUAGCUUCCUGCCAAGGACUGACAUGCAUCUCACCAGUCAGCAGUUCCCACCAAAAGUGCUUAGGGCCUCAGGGCCUCCCAUCCCUGCUGCUGGCCAGUGUCCAGCUCACACAAGUGGCCCCCUCAUCCCUAAUGAGGCCUUACUGGAGAGGAUGGGCCACUCGCCUAUUGCAAGUGCACAAUGUGAAUCUGAGAGUUCAGUUUCGUGUAAUUAUUUCUGUAUCAACAACAUCAACUCAGGGCUCAAGAUCACCUAGGUGAGAGUGUAAGAAUAGAGACUUUCCAAUUAGCAGAGCUAGGUUUGAAACCUAACCCCACCACUCACUGUGUGGUUUUGACUAAUGACCCACUCUGAACUUGUAAAAUGAGCCCAUGGGAGCUCAUGGUUGUGAUUACUAAAUGCAAUAUAGUGCAUUUAGUAUAUGCAAUAUUGUGCAUGAAAUGCUCAGCACAGUGGCUGGUGCAUAUCAGCAUUGUUAUUAUUAAAAGAAAAUACCCUUAUUAAUUAACUACUGCAAGUCAGGGGUGGGAAUGGGACAAGGAGCAGGCCUGGGUGGAGGGCCUGUGUGUGAGGGGACUAUUCAUAGGUACCCAGUUCAAUUCUUUUUCUAGGCACUAGCGGUAUAUGGAAAAGAUCCUCUUCCCUGUAGAGCUCGAAUUUCAUGGAGAAGAAAUUAUGAGAGAAUGUCUGUCUCCUUUCAGUCACCUGGCUUGUGGAUUUGCUAUCCCCAGGUGAAACCAAGGCCCUACUGGACUGGCCCCAGGCUGAUUCCUGGAGGAAGCUACUUUUCAGAGGGGCACACAGGUUAUCUCAUGGACAGGUUCUUCAGGGUGUCUUCUAACCCCCAGAGAUCUGAGGACAAAGGAUUCCUAUCAUCUCCUUGAGCAACUGUUAAGGAGGCAGAGAGGAGCCGGGUGGAAGGUCCUCAAAUGAACAAGGUCAACCAAGCGGCAAAGGUUCUAACAGUUCAUUCUCCUGGCCCUCGUGUGAAAACUGCAGAAAAGUCACCCCAUGCCUUUGUAGAUUAAAAUUAAGCUGGCAAGAUUCAGCUGUAGUGGGCUUUAGAUGGUCUGGGUCACUUUCUGAAGCCAAUUUCUUUUAAAAGCUCUCAAGCUGAAGGCAAUAAUACUAAAUGACAGCUGAGAAUUUUAAGUUUUAUUUUCAGUUCUGGAAAAAAAGGGGGGGAUGGGUAUCCCUUUAUAUUUUUAUACUGAGGACAAGUCAGUAGGGAGAUUUCAUUGUGUUGUCGGUGUAAAAGUAAUCAACUCAGUGUGCCAUAGCCAGGAAUUCAAACUGCUUGGAAAAUGCAGGUGUAGUUAGCCCUUUUCACUGGAAAAUACACUGGACAGUGACGUGGGUAGGUUAAGAGCAGAGAGCUGCUGGGAAGAUCUGCAGAAAGGGCAAGGUUGUCUGCCACAUUCCUUCUUCCUAAAGCACUUAUGCCAUCUAGGUGAAACUGGGCUGUUCUAGGAGGGGUAGUACUUCCUGCUUUAACACUAACCAACUUGAAAAUCACACUGGGAACAAAACCAUGACAGCCAGGAACACAGCACCAGAAGGUGAAACCCAGCCCAGAGUAUGUAGCCGCUGUAACUUACAGCAUUAAUAAAAGGCUUACAGAAAACCAAAGGCCUAUUAAAUAUCCCUGCCCCACCUAGACUCACCACUUAAUUGGGGUGGGAAGCCUCAAGGCAGAAGGAGUAUAAAUGGUUCCAAAGGCCGGAGCGACUUUGGUCUGAAAGGCCCAGGUCCAAUUAAAACAAACCAGGAGCCUUAAUAACUGCUCCGUUUUGACAUCGGGAAACCCACUCUAAAUUCUGUCAAUGGCUAUGAUGUAGAGAUUUUAUUAUGAUUAUUAUUUCAUGGACUUAAUGAAUGCUUAAAAGAAUUAAGCCACGAUAAGACCCAAGGUCAUAACCUCCUCAUCCACCACGAAAGGGCAGCUUGCCCCAGAGCCAGCCUCUUCUUGGGAGGCAGUCCCCAGGUCCCUGGGUUCUGGUGGUCCUACUAUUUGAUUUGGGGUUGAUUUAGAGCAUGCACAAGCAAAAUGGGCUGUAGGCCCUUGCCGUGACUGUAAAGGCUUCUGUGUGCGUAGUCAUCUCCUCAACCUGCCAGAAAUUCCCCAAAAGGAGAAAGGUUAAUCCCUCUAACUUAAGGAAUUUUAGCCUAGGUAACAUCACAGUGUCCACCAGAAGGAGGACACACACACACACACACACACACACACACACACACACCCUACUGAUGAAAAUUAGGUUAUCUAUCUCCCUUAACCAACUGGCUAUGAGUACAUCUUGUUCUUUUAUGCAUUCACCAUUUUUUUGUAUUGCUAAUGAGCCACAAUAAGCAAUAUUGAGUAUUUCUUACUGAGUUGUAUUGAGUCCUUCACCAUGAGCCAGGCACUAUAUUAUAUGCUAAACAAGUUCAUUUUCUUUGUGUAUCACAAACCUUUCUGAUUAUAAGCAGUACUUAUUAAGUGUUAUGUUAUCAACGUAUAUUAAAAUGACAAAUUCUCUUGGUAAUCAUGAUUCAGUAGAUACAGGGUGGGGUUUUGUCCUCUGUUUUUAACAAGUGGCCCAAGGGAUGCUUAUGAUCAAGUCAUUGUCCUAGAAAGCUUCCCAGCUUGUCCGAAACCUCUUGACUGAAGUGCCCACAGACUCCUCCACCAUCAGAAGGGUCCCCUUUCCCACUGUGUUGAGCCCUCCCAUAAGCAUCUCCAUCCUUCCUGAUUUUUUUUUGAACAGGCUUUUAGCUGCUGAAAAGCAAAAUAAUACCCUCAAAGGAAAGUUUUAUUGGAGGGAAACUGUCUCAAACUGCAGACAGUAUCUUUUUGCAUUUUAUUAAACCUGCAGAGCUAGAGCCAUGAUUUAAAGCAAUGGGUGGCCAAGUAACUUGAAGUCUAUUUUAGUUACCAUUUUUGUUACUGAUGGUUCCACCUACUCAAAAGAAAAAAUAGUGAAUAGAAAUAUUAAUAUAGGAAGCCAAGGCAGUCUCAUGGCUGCAAAGAAACAUUGGUUCUGUGCCCUGACCUUCCUCUUUGUGGCUCAGAUUUUCCACCUAGGGGAGGGUGAUUUUUGCUCUCUCCUCAUCAUACAGAGCUGCUGAAGGGAUCCUUAAGAGAAGGCUCUUCUAGACUUUGAGUUUCCUGACCAAAAUUAAACCGUUGCAGUUGUAGUAUCUUUCUCUUAAAGUGGGUUUCCUCAUUCACCAGACAUUACCAUUAGAGCCUGGAGUGAUGAGAAAUGUCUAAAUGUAGGUAAAUAGACAAAGACUUCCAGAGUUUUCCCAUGUAUUGUCAAUGGGGCAACAAGGCAUUGCCCUGAAAUCUCUGGGUGUGUGACAUUAAGAUUACAGCUUGUAUGUAGAACAUAAAAGGCCUCUUUAUACUCUAUGAUUAUGAAUUAUGAUAAUCUUUCUUAAAGCAAGUAUGUAUAUAUUGUUAUUUAUUCUUUAAAACAACUUUUCAAAACAUAUAUUCUCUAUCUCAGCUUAAGUUGAAUGUACUUCUUAGAAUGAAUUUAUGUAGCAAGUCAACUCUGCUCUGUGCAGACAGGGUCAGUUGUCUUCUCUCUGAGCAGAUUGUUGGGGGCCAAUCCUAGCUAACUAUGAAACUAAAGGAUGGAACAGUUGACCCCUGGAAGUCCCUAUGCUCCAGUGAUCUCUCUCCGUGUAUCAAAUGGUCUUGAAACUCUUAAAAAGAUUGUUAUUACCUCAAAUAGAAAGGGUGAUUGUAUUUGAUAUAUCCUGGGAACACUGCUCGUAUGCACCAUCUUAAUAAAAUGAAAGCCUAUUAAAUAAGACAUCAUUUAAGGAAUAGAGGAGAUGGAUGGAAUGCCACAGAAAAAUGUAAUGAAUAUUCAUUUAUAGAUUGAGAAGUGGAAACAUAUGGGAAGGCUUGUUUGGGGUUUUUAUUUUUUGCAACAAUAUGGGGCUCUUAAAUGACACUACACAUUUAUAACAGCUACCUGUUGACCAAGAGCUGUAAAGGGACUCUCCAAUUACAGAGGAGCAGAGCCCAGUGGAUGCUGUUCCUCAAAAUAGUCAUCUCCCAUUGAGAUCUAUUUAAGAAUACCUUUCAAAGAGUAUCUUUACAGUUUUAUGCACCUAAAAUACAGUAAAAUCUCACAUAAGGAGAUAUCAGAGUUGGGGGGCUUAUUAGCUCAUAUACUGAUACAAAAGUUUAUUUCUUUUCAGUUCUCCAGAUUAAGCCCCAUUUUGUCCCUAUAUCAUAAUUCAGCUUUCAUUUGAGUGAGAGUAAAAGGGGAUCUAAGAAUAAAGUAAAAAUAAAAGAGACUCAGUAGCAUCUUAGUUCUGAGACCCAGAGACCAUUUAGGAGGCUACUGUAAUGUCAGGCAGAAUAACAAAGCAGAAGGUGGCUGGGGGUGACCCUGGAGUCACUGGAUGGUGAAGAAGGGGUGGAGUUCUGAUCACAGAACAACCAGAGAGAGACUCUCAGUGAGUCAAUUAAAUUUUGCCUAAACUUAGUUUUCCCCACUACAAAAAAAAAAAAAAAAAUUCCUGUUGCAUCACCUCAAAAUAGGAGAUCCAUUGAAAUGUGAAAAUGAUGAAAUGUGGAAAUAAAUAUGUACUUUGCAAAUAAUAACAAUGGCUGUGUGGAGUUAGUGAGCCCAGGAUUUUCUCUUCUCUUUUUUCCAUAGAGUUUUUAGUGCCUUUAAUUGCUUUUAUUUAAUAAAAGAAAUGGUAAUUUAAGAGGAGAGAGAGAGAAGCAGAUGUGAGCUUUAAGGGAUGACUAUAGAACCAGAUCUAUGAUGUCUGAGCUAGACUCCUUAGCGGGUUUCGGAAAAAUGUUCCAGCCCAUUAAUUCAAAGCCUGAGUGAGGAGGUGUGAGUGACUGGUCACACCAGGACACAGUGGUUCUCUGCAGUGGCCACUUCCGCUGACAUUACAUCCAACACCACCAUCACUUCUGUGGCCCAGGUCUCCCAGGACACUCAUUUGCAAGUUCACCAUUGUUAAAAAUCACUCUCCUGUCUUCUUGUCAUUCUCCUUGUCUAGUGAUCCCCAAGGUUUCUGGACUCAGAGCUUUGGUAUGAAAUUCAAUCUUCACUUAGUUUACAAUUUUUUUCUUCACCCAGUGACAGUGUGAUGAGGUAAUGUUUUCUAGCAGACCGGCUCAAGAUUUGAACCUUUAAAAGUGAAAAACAUUGAGAGCUUAAAAGGCCAGUGUUCAAUAUUCCUUCAGUGAUUUUAAGUGGACAGUAAUGUCUUCCCAGAUAUUAAUUCCAGAGUGACAGAACUAUCAUUGUCUCCAUCUGCCCCCACAGCAAAGUUGUAGUUAGUCAUUCUCUGUAACAGUAGUAAUGAACUCUCUAGUUAUAAACAAGCAACCCAAGAAAAAUUUCAUUUCCCCAGAGACCAUUUAGGAGGCUACUGUAAUAUCAGGCAGAAUAACAGCAGACCGGAAGGGGGCUGGGGGUGACCCUGGAGUCACUGGAUGGUGAAGAAGGGGUGGAGAGCGAAAAGAUGCUGGAGGAGGAGGCAUCCUUAUCCAGGUUGCCUCAGACUCCUGCAGAAGGGACCCAGCCCCAGCCCUUGCAUAUCAAGAAGAGAAACUCAGAGGACUCUUCUCAUUCACAAGGAAAUGUUCUGAAGCUGUGAGACUCUGACAUUUGUGGUGUAUAAACCACUUUCGCAUGGCCCAGAACCUUCUGUGAGGUUCCAUUCUGCAUAAAUUACAGUUUUGUAAUCACUUUUUCUAACUGAUGCUUUUUGUGCUCUUUAAUGUGCAUUCAGAUAUGAGGGGAGGUGGCAUCCUUUUAUUUAUUUAAAGAAUGCACGUCUUUAUGAUUUGCCUUCAGAAAGAGGCUCUUUACUAUCAGCAUGUCCCACCUUUUGGGGACCCUGAGGUCCAGUGUGGAGAAGCAAGGAGCUGGCUCUCCUCCAGCCUGGAGUAGCUGUGAUCAGCCUCAAGUCACCUCUACUCAGAAGGUCCCCAGAGGCCUGUGCAGGCUGGCAGAUGGCCCAGGACUUGAGAUCACUUCAAGUGUGCAUGGAUAGGGAGGAAAGCUAUACAGACUCAUGUGACCUAUAACUUGGACAUUAACAGACCAAAGGAAAUGCCAUGCCUUACUCAGAGCCAAUUUCUCUUUAGAAGAGAAUUCUAAAUUCUAAAUUCUCUAAUUCCUGUGUCACUCUCCAAGUCCCCUGCAGUCUUCCUCCCAUUGUCUUUUCUCUUUUGUUUGGUAACUUUUCUUUCCUACGAAUUUACCAGCCUGAAGAGAUGAAAGUCCUGAGUUUUCCUACUUCCUUAUUACACAAAUGGAGGAAUAAGGAAAGCUGUUGUUGGAAGGAUAGCACUCAGUAGAUGAGCAAAGCAACUCAAGAUUGUCUCCUUUAGCUCCAGUAAGUUUGAUCCAAACUGGGAGGUCACCGAUGAAGCUUAGAUCAAACAAGGGCCAACAUCAUUGUCAUCAACACCAUCACUGUCAUCAUCAUAAUGACAAAAAUGACCCAAAAAUGUUCUAAUUUUUGAGGAGGUUUGCUUAAAGUGAAGAAGGUUUUAAUAUCUUCAUUGUGUGCUAGAUUCUUUAAAUCAGAAUAAUCAAACUGAGGUGUUAAGAGAAAGAAUAUCAGAAAAUCAGGCAAGACCUUGCUUAAGGAAAUAUGAAUUGCCUAAAGGAGGAAACGGCUAAAAAUUACAGAUGAUUUGCUUGAUCUCGAAUGUAGGUGUAUACCCAAUUUCAGUUAACCUUUGGGUAUGUGAUAAGCAAAAACCACACCUCCACCCUUCCCUUAGAGUUUUCAACUCUGGCAUAUAAACUGUGUUCUCAUCUCCACCCGGUCCUGCCAAUGACAAGUUGAAUGCUGUCUACUAUAACUGCAUGGCCAGGGCCCCUGAGUAGCAUUUAAGGUAAUAGAAAAAGCCAGCUAGUGUGCCAAUAGCCUUUGAGAGAUGACCUGUACUGAUACAGAUUCCAGUUUAUCUUUGGCAUAAGCCAGCCAAAAACACAAAUAGGAUCUCCUCAGAAGCACUUUCAAGGCUUACAGACUGGGAAUUUUCCUUUUGAUACCAUCCUCAUCAAUCGUCAGAUUGUGUAUGAUCAUUAUUUCAGAGACUCAAACCAGAAGUAAUGUUCAUGUAACUACCAACCUUCUGAAACAGAAGGUUGAGAUCACUGUUGGUUUUUGUUGACAGAAGAUUGUGGCAACACACUUUGAAAGUAGGCGAAAGGUAAUCCAGAAGGGAGAGAGCCUGCAGGGCCCCACCGUUGCUCAGGCCCUCUCUUGACCAGAGCAUAAAGGAUUGGCAGACACUCUGGCAGGAUCCUGCACAGCAGUCUUCAGAUACAGCUGCUCUUCCAUCCCCAAACAUGAAAAUCUGUGGCUCCUGGCAGCUUGGAAAAUGUCAUUUUCCCAUGAAAAUGACGUAAGAGGCAGAAGAGUCUCAACUCCACUCUCUGUUACAAAAGUAUUCCUCCUAAAAUAUUAAUAUUUGCGCUUAGUCCAUAUUAUACCAUGUGACUAACAUAUGAAAAGAAAUCUUCUUGGAGAUUAAA
This is a long non-coding RNA of Homo sapiens (human), 31282 nucleotides long. RefSeq lists it as uncharacterized. Lineage: Eukaryota; Metazoa; Chordata; Mammalia; Primates; Hominidae. The record is from RefSeq and is a predicted model, not a curated record. The transcript has 2 exons.